UACGGAGGGUGCAAGCGUUGUUCGGAAUUACUGGGCGUAAAGCGCGUGUAGGCGGUCGCUUAAGUCUGAUGUGAAAGCCCGGGGCUCACCUCCGGAAGAGCAUUGGAAACUGGGCGACUAGAGUGUCGGAGAGGAGAGUGGAAUUCCUGGUGUAGCGGUGAAAUGCGUAGAUAUCAGGAGGAACACCGGUGGCGAAAGCGGCUUCCUGGACCAGUACCGACGUUCAGGCACGAAAGCGUGGGGAGCAAACAGG
RNAcentral lists this ribosomal RNA (253 nucleotides) under uncultured bacterium. RNAcentral describes it as "partial 16S ribosomal RNA". It matches the Rfam family "Bacterial small subunit ribosomal RNA", at positions 524 to 776 of the family's 1533-position model. The record is from RNAcentral.